This 253-nucleotide ribosomal RNA is filed under the name uncultured bacterium. Its description in RNAcentral is "partial 16S ribosomal RNA". It matches the Rfam family "Bacterial small subunit ribosomal RNA", at positions 524 to 776 of the family's 1533-position model. The record is from RNAcentral.
UACGUAGGGUGCAAACGUUGCUCGGAAUCAUUGGGCGUAAAGCGCACGUAGGCGGCUUCGCAAGUCGGAUGUGAAAUCCCUCGGCUCAACCAAGGACGUGCAUCCGAAACUGCGAAGCUUGAGUACAGAAGAGGAUCGCGGAAUUCCCGGUGUAGAGGUGAAAUUCGUAGAUAUCGGGAGGAACACCAGUGGCGAAGGCGGCGAUCUGGGAUGAUACUGACGCUGAGGUGCGAAAGCGUGGGGAGCAAACGGG